GAUGAACGCUGGCGGCGUGCCUAAUACAUGCAAGUCGAGCGAACAGACGAGGAGCUUGCUUCUCUGACGUUAGCGGCGGACGGGUGAGUAACACGUGGAUAACCUACCUAUAAGACUGGGAUAACUUCGGGAAACCGGAGCUAAUACCGGAUAAUAUUUUGAACCGCAUGGUUCAAUAGUGAAAGACGGUCUUGCUGUCACUUAUAGAUGGAUCCGCGCUGCAUUAGCUAGUUGGUAAGGUAACGGCUUACCAAGGCAACGAUGCAUAGCCGACCUGAGGGGGUGAUCGGCCACACUGGAACUGAGCCACGGUCCAGACUCCUACGGGACGCAGCAGUAGGGAAUCUUCCGCAGUGGGCGAAAGCCUGACGGAGCAGCGCCGCGUGAGUUAUGAAGGUCUUCGGAUCGUAAAACUCUGUUAUUAGGGAAGAACAUAUUUGUAAGUAACUGUGCACAUCUUGACGGUACCUAAUCAGAAAGCCACGGCUAACUACGUG
Molecule: ribosomal RNA, 497 nt
Filed under: uncultured bacterium
Lineage: Bacteria
Description: partial 16S ribosomal RNA
Rfam family: Bacterial small subunit ribosomal RNA
Source: RNAcentral